This 498-nucleotide ribosomal RNA is filed under the name uncultured bacterium. RNAcentral's name for it is "bacterial SSU rRNA". It matches the Rfam family "Bacterial small subunit ribosomal RNA", at positions 33 to 507 of the family's 1533-position model. The record is from RNAcentral.
AACUACGCUGGCGGCGUGCCUAACACAUGCAAGUCGUACGAGAAAGUUGGCUUCGGCCGAUGAGUAAAGUGGCGCACGGGUGAGUAAUGCGUGGAUAAUCUGCCCUUUAGUUGGGAAUAACGUACCGAAAGGUGCGCUAAUACCUGAUAAUACUGCAUAACUACUGUUGUGUAGUCAAAGAAGGCCUCUGUUUACAAGCUUUUGCUGAAGGAUGAGUCCGCGUACCAUUAGCUGGUUGGUGGGGUAAUGGCCUACCAAGGCUACGAUGGUUAGCUGGUCUGAGAGGAUGAUCAGCCACACUGGAACUGAGACACGGUCCAGACUCCUACGGGAGGCAGCAGUGAGGAAUAUUGGUCAAUGGGCGGAAGCCUGAACCAGCCAUGCCGCGUGCAGGAUGACGGCCCUACGGGUUGUAAACUGCGUUUUCCCCGGGGCGAACUAACCCCCUCGCGAGGGGGGAUGCCGGUACCGGGGGAAUAAGGAUCGGCUAACUCCGUG